UACGUAGGGUGCAAGCGUUGUCCGGAAUUACUGGGCGUAAAGAGUUCGUAGGCGGUUUGUCGCGUCGUUUGUGAAAACCAGCAGCUUAACUGUGGGACUGCCUUUGAUACUGCCUUUCUCGAGUGCAUGAGGGGGAAGCGGAAUUCCGAGUGUAGAGGUGAAAUUCGUAGAUAUUCGGAGGAACACCGGUGGCGAAGGCGGCUUCCUGGCAUGUAACUGACGCUCAGGUGCGAAAGCGUGGGUAGCAAACAGGAUUAGAUACCCUGGUAGUCCACGCCCUAAACGAUGGGCACUAGGUGUGGGAGGUAUCGACCCCUUCCGUGCCGCAGCUAACGCAUUAAGUGCCCCGCCUGGGGAGUACGGCCGCAAGGUUGAAACUUAAAGGAAUUGACGG
This 394-nucleotide ribosomal RNA is filed under the name uncultured bacterium. RNAcentral describes it as "bacterial SSU rRNA". It matches the Rfam family "Bacterial small subunit ribosomal RNA", at positions 524 to 916 of the family's 1533-position model. The record is from RNAcentral.